RNAcentral lists this transfer RNA (73 nucleotides) under Thermobacillus composti KWC4. It matches the Rfam family "tRNA". Rfam says of the family: Transfer RNA (tRNA) molecules are approximately 80 nucleotides in length. Their secondary structure includes four short double-helical elements and three loops (D, anti-codon, and T loops). The record is from Rfam by way of RNAcentral. Lineage: Bacteria; Bacillati; Bacillota; Bacilli; Caryophanales; Paenibacillaceae.
UCCCUGAUAGCUCAGUUGGUAGAGCACUCGGCUGUUAACCGGGUUGUCACAGGUUCGAGUCCUGUUCGGGGAG